Molecule: ribosomal RNA, 507 nt
Filed under: uncultured bacterium
Lineage: Bacteria
Description: bacterial SSU rRNA
Rfam family: Bacterial small subunit ribosomal RNA
Source: RNAcentral
ACGCUGGCGGCGUUGCUUAACACAUGGCAAGUCGAAACGAGAAGAGAUGAGAAGCUUGCUUCUUAUUGAUUCGAGUGGCAAACGGGUGAGUAACGCGUAAGCAACCUGCCCUUCAGAUGGGGACAACAGCUGGAAACGGCUGCUAAUACCGAAUACGUUCUUUCUGCCGCAUGACAGAGGGAAGAAAGGGAGGCUCUUCGGAGCUUUCGCUGAAGGAGGGGCUUGCGUCUGAUUAGCUAGUUGGAGGGGUAACGGCCCACCAAGGCGACGAUCAGUAGCCGGUCUGAGAGGAUGAACGGCCACAUUGGGACUGAGACACGGCCCAGACUCCUACGGGAGGCAGCAGUGGGGAAUCUUCCGCAAUGGACGAAAGUCUGACGGAGCAACGCCGCGUGAACGAUGACGGCCUUCGGGUUGUAAAGUUCUGUUAUACGGGACGAAUGGCGUAACGGUCAAUACCCGUUACGAGUGACGGUACCGUAAGAGAAAGCCACGGCUAACUACGUG